RNAcentral lists this ribosomal RNA (236 nucleotides) under Staphylococcus warneri. Its description in RNAcentral is "partial 16S ribosomal RNA". It matches the Rfam family "Bacterial small subunit ribosomal RNA", at positions 504 to 739 of the family's 1533-position model. Lineage: Bacteria; Bacillati; Bacillota; Bacilli; Caryophanales; Staphylococcaceae. The record is from RNAcentral.
CGUGCCAGCCGCCGCGGUAAGACAGAGGGGGCAAGCGUUGUCCGGAUUUACUGGGCGUACAGCGCGCGCAGGCGGCUGCGUAUGUGACUGGUGACAGCCUCCCGCUCAACGGGAGAAGGCCCGGUUACACAGCGCAGCUGGAGGCAGGGAGAGGGAUGUGGAAUACCCGGUGGAGCGGUGAAAUGCGUAGAGAUCGGGUGGAACACCAGUGGCGAAGGCGGCAUCCUGGCCCUGAC